This 3495-nucleotide long non-coding RNA is filed under the name Homo sapiens (human). Its description in RNAcentral is "non-protein coding lnc-STYXL1-3:1". Lineage: Eukaryota; Metazoa; Chordata; Mammalia; Primates; Hominidae. The record is from RNAcentral.
AGGCCUCUCCUGGCCCAGCUGUGGCCUCACAUUGGCCUCCCCAGGCCACGUUUCCGCUUGCCUCGCGGCAGCCUUGGCAAGCCCAGCUCCUGCCUGCCGAGGGCCUCUUAAAGAGGCUCAUCUCGUGCCUCGCCGUGGCCUCCCCAGGCCAUGCUCCCACCUUUCGGCAGCCUCUGCAGGCCCAGCUCCUGUGUCCCGAUGGCCUUUUUUUGCCUGGCUUUGCCUCACCGCGGCCUCUUGAGGCGCAGCUUUUCCCUUCUGGCGACAUCUCCAGGCCCAGAACUUCCUCAAAUCGGCCUCCCCCGGCCCAGUUGCUGCCUGCCGGCCUCCUCUCCGGGCCCAGCUAUUUGCUCAUGGCUGCGCCCACAGGCCCAGCUCCUGCCUCCAAACAGCCUCCUUUGACUCGGCUCCUGCCCAGCUCCUGGCAACCUACAUCGGCCCAAAGCCUGCUCCAGUCCAGCUCUCCAGGCCCGCCUCUUGCCUCGCAGCGGCCUUUCCAGGCCCAGCUCUCGCCUCGCGGCAGCCUUCCACGACCCCACUCGUGCCGGCCUUCCACGACCCCCCUCGUGCCGGCCUCCGGGCAGCCUCCACAAGCCCAGCUCCUGCCUCAUGCUGGUCCCUGUAGGCCCAGCUUGUGCCUUGCGGUGGCCUCUCCAGACCCAGCUCCCGCCCACCCCGAUGGUGUCUCCCGGCCCAAAGCUCCCUUACUGAACGAUGACCCCUCUAGACCCAGCUCCUGCCUGCUGCUGAUGGCCUCUGCGGGCCCACCCAAAGCAUCCCGAAGUUGGCUUCACCAGGCCCAGCUCCUGCCUGUUGUAGGCCCCUAGGGGCACGGCCUCUGCCCCACACCAGCCCCCCUGGAACCAGCUCUUGCCUCAUCCUAGCCGCAUCAGGCCAAGCUCCUGCCUUUUGGUGGUCUAUCCAUGCCUGGCUUUUGACUGCCGGCAUCCUUUCCAGGCCCAGAACUGUUUCCAGUGGCCCUCUCCAGGCCCGGCUCUCCAUCCGGGCCGCGUCCAGCGGUCCCAACCCCUGCCUCACGACAACCACGUUUGGCCCAGCUCCUGGUAGCCUUUGUAGGCCCCAGGCUCCUCGAAGUGAGGCCUCCCAGGCCCCGCCUUCGGCUCCCUGGUGGCCUGGAGAAGCCCAGCUCCUGCCUGACAGCGGUCUCUCCGGGCCCCGCUCUUGCCUCGUGUCGGCCUCCCCGGGCCACGUUGCCACCUGCCUCGCGGCAGCCCAGACAGGCCCGGCUCCUGCCUCCCAUCGGCCUUUUUGGGCUCAUCUCGUGCCUCACCGCGGCCUCCCCUAGGCCAGGCUCCUGCCUUUCGGUGGCCUCCGCAGGCCUGGCUCCUGCAUCCCGAUGGCCUCCUUAGGCCCGGCUCGUCCCUCUGAAAGGCCUCUUUCAGAGGCCUGGCUUUUCCCUCGUGGCGGCCUCUACAGGCCCAAGUGGGCAAGCCACCGCGACGGCCCGGUGGCUACCUCUCGGCCUCCUCUCCAGGCCCAGCGCUCUCUCGCGGCUGCACCUCCAGGCCCAACCCCCACCUGCAGACAGCCGCUUCUGACUCGGUUUGUGCCCAGAUCCCGGCGGCCUUCGUAGGCCCGAAACCUCCUCCAGCCCAGCUCUCCAGGCCCACCAGUGGCCUCGCAGCAGCCUCCCCGGGCCCAGCUCUUGCCUCACGGCGGCCUUCCCCGUCCGUGUUCCUGCCGGCCUCCCGGCGGCCUCGACAAGCCCAGCGCCUGCCUCACACUGGGCUCUUGAGGCCCAGCUGACGCCUCACGGUGGCCUCUCCAGGCCCAGCUGCCGCCCGCCCCAACAGCAUCUCCUGGCCCAAGGCUAUUUCAAGUGGGCCCCUCCAGGGCCCAGCUGCUGCACCCCAACCAAUGGCCUGUGCAAACCCAAAGCGUCUUGAAGUUGGCCUCGCCAGGCCCAGCUCCUGCCUGUCGUAGGCCUCUGGACUUGAGGCACGGCCUCUGCCUCCUCACAGUGGACCCCCGCCAGGCCCAGCUCUUGCCUCAGCGUGGCCGCCUCAGGCCAGGCUUGUGUUCUGCCUGUGGGCAGCCUCCACGGGCCCAGCUCUCGCCUCUGGCCAUCCUCUCCAGGCCCAGAAGUGUUUCCAGCCAGCCUCUCCAGGCCCAGAACUGUUUCCAGCCAGCCUCUCCAGGCCCAGCUCUCCCUCCCGGCUGCGCCUGCCGGCCCAGCUCCUGCCUCGCAACAGCCACGUUCGGCUCAGCUCCUGCCCAGCUCCUGGCAGCCUUUGUAGGCCCCAGGCUCCUCGAAGUGAGGCCUCUCAGGCCCCACCUUCGGCUCCCCGGCGGCCUGGAGAGGCGCAGCUCCUCGUGACAGCGGCCUCUCCGGGCCCGGCUCGUGCCUCACGUCGGUCUCCCCAGGCCACGUUGCCACCUGCCUCGCGGCAGCCCCGACAGACCUGGCUCUUGCCUCCCGACGGCCUCUUUGGGCUCAUCUCGUGCCUCACCGUGACCUCCCCCAGGCCAGGCUCCUGCUUUUUGGCGGCCUCCGCAGGCCCGGCUCCUGCAUCCCGAUGACCUCUUUAGGCCUGGCUCAUCCCUCUGAACGGCCUCUUUCAGAGGCCCGGCUUUUCCCUCGUGGCAGCCUCUGCAGGCCCAAGUUGGCAAGCCACCACCACGGCCCGGUGGCUGCCUCCCAGCCUACUCUCCAGGCCCAGCACUCUCUCGCGGCUGCGCCUCCAUGCCCAGCCCCAGCCUGCAGACAGCUGCUUCUGACUCGGCUCGUGCCCAGAUCCCGGCAGCAUUCGUACGACCAAAACCUCCUCCAGCCCAGCUCUCCAGGCCCACCUGUGGCCUCGCAGUGGCCUCCCCGGGGCCAGAUCUUGCCUCACGGUGGCCUUCCCCGGCCGUGUUCCUGCCAGCCUCCCAGCGGCCUCGACAAGCCCAUCGCAUGCCUCUCACUGGGCUCUGGAGGUCCAGCUCAAGCCUCACGGUGGCCUCUCCAGGCCCAGCUCCCGCCCGCCCCGACGGCGUCUCCCGGCCAAGGGUUUCUCAAGUGGGCCCCUCCAGGGCCCAGCUGCUGCCCCCCGGCCGAUGGCCUGUGCGGGCCCAAAGUGUCCUGAAGUCGGCCUCGCCAGGCCCAGCUCCUGCCUGUCGUAGGCCCCUGGACUUGAGGCACGGCCUCUGCCUCCUCACAGUGGACCCCCACCAGGCCCAGCUCUUGCCUCAGCAUGGCCGCCUCAGGCCAGGCUCGUGUUCUGCCUGUGGGCAGCCUCCACGGGCCCGGCUCUCGCCUCUGGCCAUCCUCUCCAGGCCCAGAAGUGUUUCCAGCCAGCCUCUCCAGGCCCAGCUCUCCUUGCCGGCUGCGCCUGCCGGCCCAGCUCCUGCCUCGCAACAGCCACGUUCGGCCCAGCUCCUGCCCAGCUCCUGGCAGCCUUUGUAGGCCCCAGGCUCCUCGAAGUGAGGCCUCUCAGGCCCCGCCUUCGGCUCCCUGGCGGCCUGAAGAGUCCCAGCCACUGCCUGACAGCGGUU